This 313-nucleotide ribosomal RNA is filed under the name uncultured eukaryote. RNAcentral describes it as "partial large subunit ribosomal RNA". It matches the Rfam family "Eukaryotic large subunit ribosomal RNA", at positions 40 to 350 of the family's 3401-position model. The record is from RNAcentral.
AUAUCAAUAAGGCGAGGAACAGAAACCAACAGGGAUUCCCCCAGUAGUGGCGAAUGAAGCGGGAAAAGCUCAAGUUUGAAAUCUGUAGGGUGACCUACAGAGUUGUAAGCUGAAGAGGGUUUGACCGACGUGGCCUGGGCCCAAUUCCCUUGGGACAGGGAGUCAAGGAGGGUGAGAACCCCGUGUGUGGCUCGUGGCCGUCGUCCUUGUGUCGUGCCCUCCAAGAGUCGGGUUGUUUGGGAAUGCAGCUCAAAAUGGGUGGUAAAUUUCAUCUAAAGCUAAAUAUUGGCGAGAGACCGAUAGCGCACAAGUA